This 159-nucleotide small RNA is filed under the name Marmota monax (woodchuck). The record is from RNAcentral. Lineage: Eukaryota; Metazoa; Chordata; Mammalia; Rodentia; Sciuridae.
UGGAAAAGAAAAAAAAGAUAUUUGAACAUUCAACAUUUUGUGUGUGGUUAAACUUAAGUUGGAAUCGGAUUGUUUUUUCUUGUGUGUGUGUGUGUGUGUGUGUGUGUGCAGUGCUGGGGAUGGAACCCGGGGCCUCACAUAUGUUGCCAAAGGCUCUAC